Long non-coding RNA from Zingiber officinale, 2713 nucleotides. RefSeq lists it as uncharacterized. The record is from RefSeq and is a predicted model, not a curated record. The transcript has 2 exons. NCBI's taxonomy places the organism in Eukaryota, Viridiplantae, Streptophyta, Magnoliopsida, Zingiberales, Zingiberaceae.
AACCCUAAUAUCUAAUCCCGUCGCUAUAAAUUACUGGGCUCCGCCGCCGUCGUUGAUUCAUGGUGCGAUGGCCGUCAGGUAUGGUUCACCGCUCCGGUGGACUUUUCAUGGUUUCUUUAUUCCUCGUGGCGGUAGGUGUUUAUAGUUUGAGUGUUUUCUCGUCGUGUUAGGGAUUUCGACCUCUCUUCCCGAGAUUUGCUGGCUGAUGAUGAGUGAUCUUUAAGAUCUUAGCGGAUUUCAGUGAGGCUUUCUGGUCUAUGAUCUUUCCACUGUUGUUACACACACUGAAGCCUACUCUAUUUCACAGCAAAAUGAUAGUUUUCUACCCUGUUGGGGUUAAGAUCAUUUUUGGUGCAAUGCUUAAUCUGCUCUUUCUGAUUUAUGGAUUUUUCUAUUUGUUUUAUGGUGCAUUUGGCAUAGGAGGUAUCGGUUGUCGCCAUGAUGAGUUUAGGAGUUGGUGUGGGCAGUGGUGAUAGCAUAUUGUUUGUUAUCCCCGUGAGCCUCUCUCACAUUAAUAUGACUUCCCCUUUCGCUGAGCUCACAAUUUUUUUCCUUCCAUGAAGUGUUGAAUGAUUUUUUUUUUCACACAAAGUCUUUUUUCAAUAACAUUAUUUAUUUUUAUUACACUAUUAUCAAUCUCGACCUUCAAUUUUAUUUAAUUAACCAAUGCAUUGUUGUUUUUGGUUUCAUUCAACAUGUAUGUAAUUAUGUUAACAAUGCAACUAAUUCUUAACAUAUGGUUUGAUGUUAUCUUGUUGACAUUCUUAUUUUUCACUCUAAUGUGUUUUGCUCGGUAGAAACCUUUAUUCCCUAAUUGAGACUUGAGACAUUGAUUUUCACUUGUCAUCCUUGCACUCACGAAAGUAUGUUUCAUUUCAGUUUGAUUAAUAUAAAAAACUAUCUGUUUAGAUAAAUUUAUUAAUUAGGCCUUAGUAUUAUUUUUUGAUUGAACCUAUGCAUGUUUUUUAGGUCACAUUAUGAUCCUAUGAUAACAGUGGCAUAUUUUGAAAUAGUCAUUUGGGUGCUUUUUAAUUGUGGGAGAUGUUGUAUCUUAUAUUAGAUUUUUACUACUAUACGUUUAUUGGACUUAUAAAUGUAAGUUGUUCAUUUAGAUCAGAGAACAUCUAAUAUUAUGUUUGAAGGAAAUCGAAACAUAAAUUUUCUUGUAUGUGCUAAUUUUCAUGAGUAAAAUACAAUUAGAUGAUUGAAAGUUAAACUUUGACUGAGGCUCCUUGCAAAAUCAAUUGUUUGGCUACUUACUUUUUUUGUGCAAGAAUAAUUAUGGGAUGAGCAUUGCAGCACAAAUAGAUUGAUGUUUGUGCUGUCCUUUAUCUCCCAACACUAAAUAUUAUAUCAUUGUUGUUCCAUCUUCUGAUUUAUGUUUGUUGGUUUUGGUUACUAGUUGUUGUUGUUAUUGUACAUUUACAUUAGUUAAGUUAUAGGUGACAGGUAGCCAAUAUGAAAACUAAAUCAUAAACUUGAUAAAUGAUAUGCACCAGUAGCUAAAAGAAGUAUUUAUUAUAACUUGAUUUGGUGCACGAGUACUGACGCUCUGUUUAAUAUUAGUAUCCGGAUGCGUAACCUCUGUGCAAGAAUAGAUUAGGGUAUGCGCUUUGCAGCACAAAUGAACUUGUGUUUAUGCUGCCUGUAUUUACCCAACAAUGUUACAUAUUAAUACAUUCAGAUAUCAAUUUCACAAGUAAUUUUUGGUAACAUGAGCAAGAUAUUUAUAUCUCUUUUUUGGCUUACAUAAUCAUUUACAUAAAAAAAAGAUUUAUACAUUAGAGUGAAUUUUGUUGAUUCUCAUACAUUAUGGCUCUCAAUAUGGUUCACAGUCAAUCUUAUACCAACCCUUUAAUUUGCUUUCUUUCCUGUCUUUCAUUGAUUCUUUCUCUUCCAGAAUUAUUUAUAAACAGUUGAUAAAACACCUUUUGAAUAACUGGAUGCAAGAUAUGCAGAUAUGGGCUUAUAGUUCAGACGGAGGUGCAAAACAACAUGAAUCAUUUUGAGAGAAAGGAACUGUUUUAUCUAAUCAUUCUUUUCUUAGAUUGCUUCAGCUAUUUAUUUAUUUUUUCUUAGAAGGAUGCAAAAUAUGUACACAAAACUGUUUUAUCUAUUCAUUUUGAUUGAAGCAUUUCAGCUAAUUAUGAUAGGUGAUGGGAGUAGUUAUUUAGAUACAGCACUGAUACUUCCUAGCAAGAUCCAUUGUUCUCCACCUUACAUUUCUGUGCAAGACUGAAUCAGAGUAACUCUCCCUUUGCAGCAUAAACUAAUUUCUGCUUAUGCUGCAGAGUUCAAGAUUUCAUAUUUGCUCUCCUUCAAGCUAAGCUUAUGAUUUUUUGGGUUUUCCAAAUUGAGCUCCUUCUGUUAUCAUAAAGCAAAUGCACUCUGUCCGAAAACCUCAACUUGACCCAUGUUUUGUGGCAAUUUCUUCGUUUGCAAGAACCCAAAGUUGGUGUUUCUGACCUAACUCUUCCGUUGGUGAAUGUUGGUGAAUGUCUUGUGGCGGUGGUCUGAAUUUCAUAUUGAUUGAAUCCAUGUUAAGUAUGAGAUGAUAUAAAAUUUCUGCCCCUUGAAUUAAGAUACAUGUUAAGAUUGAUUAAAUGAUUAUUUCCAAAAAUCACUUUUAUUUCUCCCUUUUCCUUGUGUUGUCUGUCAGAUUGUUCUACAGUUGCUAUGAGCUGAAGUGAGCCGUUUUGAGGUUUUUUGGGCA